GACGAACGCUGGCGGCGUGCUUAACACAUGCAAGUCGAACGAGAGCGUAGAGAAAGCUUGCUUUUUCUACAAUCUAGUGGCAAACGGGUGAGUAACGCGUAAACAACCUGCCCUACGGAUGGGGACAACAGCUGGAAACGGCUGCUAAUACCGAAUACGUUCCGAAAGUCGCAUGACUAUCGGAAGAAAGGAUGGCCUCUAUUUAUAAGCUAUCGCCGGAGGAGGGGUUUGCGUCUGAUUAGCUAGUUGGGGGGGUAACGGCCCACCAAGGGGACGAUCAGUAGCCGGUCUGGGAGGAUGAACGGCCACAUUGGAACUGAGACACGGUCCAGACUCCUACGGGAGGCAGCAGUGGGGCAUCUUCCGCAAUGGGCGAAAGCCUGACGGAGCAACGCCGCGUGAGUGAAGACGGCCUUCGGGUUGUAAAGCUCUGUUAUACGGGACGAAUAAUCUUGUGGUUAAUACCCAUGAGAAGUGACGGUACCGUAAGAGAAAGCCACGGCUAACUACGUG
RNAcentral lists this ribosomal RNA (513 nucleotides) under uncultured bacterium. Its description in RNAcentral is "partial 16S ribosomal RNA". It matches the Rfam family "Bacterial small subunit ribosomal RNA", at positions 28 to 507 of the family's 1533-position model. The record is from RNAcentral.